This 22-nucleotide microRNA is filed under the name Drosophila ananassae. RNAcentral's name for it is "Dan-Mir-964_5p (mature (guide))". Lineage: Eukaryota; Metazoa; Arthropoda; Insecta; Diptera; Drosophilidae. The record is from RNAcentral. RNAcentral also lists the same sequence under 4 other names.
UUAGAAUAGGGGAGCUUAACUU